Molecule: unclassified non-coding RNA, 1947 nt
Filed under: Eurytemora carolleeae
Lineage: Eukaryota; Metazoa; Arthropoda; Copepoda; Calanoida; Temoridae
Description: g patch domain-containing protein 3
Source: RNAcentral
UUGCCAUAUAUGUAACUGAACUUGACUCACUUCUAAAAGAGAAAUGAAUGUAAAAUGUCGGACAGGGUGUACGUAUUAGUAUCAAAUAUUCCACCUGUUUUCCACACACUAGAUCUCAGACGAUUUUUCUCCGAUUUUGUUGAAAAUGACAAGUUCAUUUGCUUCCAUUACCGUCAUCGACCUCACAAGCAAGAACCAGUCAGAAACGAAAGUGAUAACAAUACAUCCACAAUUAUCAUACCAGCUGCGAAGGACAAGAAAAUCUCCGAACAAAGUGAGGACAAAUCUGCCAAACCGAUCGAAAAAUCCGCUAGGACUGGUGUAGCCAAAACCUUUGGUGAACAAGUGACUGGCCGUGUUCACCAAUCACGUGAUCAGGAGCCACCUGACCGGCCCAGUUGCUGUUGUGUAGUUCAGCUCGAUGCUCAACAUGUAAAUUCAUUCCUUACUAGUUUCCACAGAAAACACUGGUUAGAUUCAACUGAUACAGAGCUAGAUACAAGAUGUUUCAUCGCUAAAAUUGCAAACGACAAACACAGUGAACUGAGUAUACUACCCGAGCAGCGACCCCCGAAUAUAAUGCCCCGGGGUAAUGUUGGAACAUCAACUAAAUUUUUCCUGGAAGCUAUUCGAGACUGUAGACUCCCCGCUAAACUUAUAGGAAAACUUGGUCUGGAGUUCCCUAAAAGUAAACACCGGAAGUACGGUGAAGUGCCGUUUGAGUAUGCUCCAACAAGAACCAAAGGAUGGAAGUCCCUCGAUAGAACUAAACUACAGGCCCUGAACACUGCUGGGCCAAGAAUCGAGGUUGGAGUAGAUGCUGGUAAGGAGGAUUCAGGAGCAGAGGAUGAUGAUGAUACUUGUGAAGAGUGGGAGAGACAUGAAGCUCUGCAUGAUGAUGUUCACGCCAAUAGAACUAUUGGAAGACAGGUGAACUCUAGCAGCUACCUAGCGGAGGGUGGAGACCUGGACCAGCAGCCUGGAACCAAGGAGAAACCAUUCGAGGAGGAAAUAGAGUUGGUUUGGGAGAAGGGAGGCUCAGGGCUUAACUUCUAUACAGACGCACAGUACUGGAAGGCCCAGGAAGGAGAUUUUGACGAGCAGACUACGGAUGACUGGGAUGUGGAUAUGUCGGUCUACUACGAGAAGAAUACAGUUCAUGAUAUGGAUGCUGUCGAUCGGUAUGAUAUGCGAAGAUCUGAAUUCCUCCGCGCCGGAAAGCACUCAGAAUCUGUUUUCAAAAAACGAGAAAAUCCGCAAACCUCAAAACCCGGUCCUUCACGCCCAACAACCUCGCGGGGUCAACACAGAAGAGGAUUAAAAAGACAAAUCGGAGAUUUCGAGGUGUUCACUAGAGGAGUAGGAGGACGGAUGAUGAAGGAGGCUGGAUGGAAGGAGGGAAUGGGACUAGGAGCCAAAAACUCCGGAAUACCGACUGCUAUUGAUGGAGAAGAGGACGGCCAAGGGACCUGGAACAAACGAGGACUAGGAUACCAUGGACAGAAGAUAGUAUUUGCCCCUCCCAGACCUCCAGUAGGUCCUCCGCCUCAACCUCCGGCUCCCGGGGGGAUCCGGAUAUCCUCGGUUUACUCGAGGCCGGAACAGCUGGAUCAAUCAGAGAGGGUGGAGAGGUCGAAUCCUAAAGUUUAUGUAAAGUUUCGAGAUCAGCCAAUCAAGUUUCUUGCUGCUGGGAUAGAAGGAGGAAAUAGAAAUAUUGAUAUAUAAUAAGAGGACAUAAGAUCUCACAUGAGAUAUGAACUUAUCAUUACAGAUCUACAUGAGGUUAUGAAAUAAGUGACUUGAACCAUCAUUUGUCAAGGGGAGCAUAACAUACCAUCAAUUAAAAUUCCUUCAGUUAUAGACAUAGAAAAAUAGACUGAACUAACGUGAAUAAAAUGUGAUAUAAAACAAUUUAAAAAAAUAAAAAUAUAAUUGUUUUUCAUGUCU